UUGAUCCGAUCCAGGUAGAAGAUGACAACAAGUGCUGCAGGAUUUUCCUUGAAAUAAGGACACGCGUGGCCGCAGUGGAAACGGAGCUGCUGCACAGAAAAAGAGAGAUGUGAGAACGCGAGUGUAUAUAGAAAACUGGACAAAAAGAAAACAAAGAAGCAUCAUCACAGGAGGCCAUCCACGAAGUGUUCAGGGAUUCUUUCGAGGGUUGGACGUUACCUUGGUUCAUCCCGGUUUUUCAUAAAAUAAGCUCGACGAGGGCGCAAUGUUUUUUUUUUCUCCUUCUUCGUUGUUUACCUCUGAUCGUUUGCUUGUUCUUCUAAUGAACGCCUUUCCAGUUUGAACGAUAUAUUCCUUCUGUAGCUUAGCUUUGUGAUCGUCAAAGAAAAAAUGCUCCUUGCCUGGAAAGAUCGGUGAUCACAGCCAAGCUUUUGUGUACGUCAAAGAAAAAUCCUCCUGGAAAGAUCGGUGAUCAGAGCCAAUUUUUGUGUACCCGUGGAUAGACAUCAAAGAAAAAAUGCUCCUUGCCUGGAAAUGAAAAAAUGCUCCUCCUGGAAAGAUCGGUGAUGCUCGUCAUUCAUGCAAAUCAUCGAGUAGCCGUAGCGAAGCAAACUGGAUCCACGAUCGCGGCAAAAUAUUUCCAAAUCCGGCGAGAAAUCUUUCCAUCGUCGCUUCCUCGCAUCAAGAAAAAAGCCAGAGAUCAUAGAAUCACCUUUAAAACCUCCAGACGAAUGGAAAAUCUCCAUCGCCAAGCCAGA
Molecule: long non-coding RNA, 758 nt
Filed under: Selaginella moellendorffii
Lineage: Eukaryota; Viridiplantae; Streptophyta; Lycopodiopsida; Selaginellales; Selaginellaceae
Description: long non-coding RNA (SMOE_LNC000205)
Source: RNAcentral